AGAAUUCCACUUCUCUAUCUGGUGGUAAACUUGGUAAUUCCUCUGGGAAUACAUCAGGAAAUUCACAUAUGACUGGUAUUGACUGAAUCUUUGACUCAGAUACUUUAGUAUCCAACACAUAUGCGAGAUAAGUGUCAUACCCUUUUCUAACAUAUUUCUGUGCUGAUAAUGCUGAAAUCACAUUAGGUACUCCAUCUAGUUUAUCAGAUUCAACACGAAGCAAUUCACCACUCUCACAUUUC
This 242-nucleotide long non-coding RNA is filed under the name Gossypium barbadense (sea-island cotton). Its description in RNAcentral is "long non-coding RNA (GBAR_LNC005333)". The record is from RNAcentral. Lineage: Eukaryota; Viridiplantae; Streptophyta; Magnoliopsida; Malvales; Malvaceae.